Pelobates cultripes (western spadefoot toad) is the source of this 375-nucleotide non-coding RNA. Lineage: Eukaryota; Metazoa; Chordata; Amphibia; Anura; Pelobatidae. The record is from the annotation of a GenBank genome assembly.
CAGAAGAGGACAUUAUCGACAUAAAUGUUGGCCUAACAUACAACCACAGUACAACAGCUUACUAAAUCGCACCAAGCACUUUCUAUAGAUGACCGCCGUGGAAGACCAGUACAGACGUAAACACGUCAAAAAUCAGAGGCAUCCUAGCAGCUGUCUCGGCAGAGGAGUUGCCACACUUUGUGAGGAGACUGUUGGUGUCAAUAUUGCCCCGGCAAUGGCAAGGAAAAUCACUAGAUGUGGUGUACAAAAUCCAUGGUCCCAUCACACCAUCACCGCACACCGCUAGAGACCUCACCUUAAGAUGCACCUCGGCACAAGAUAAGGGGCAUAUAAUGGCGGCCCUAAAAGGCAAAAUGACACUAUCAUUCCAAGAAG